CGCUGGAUGCAGAGGUUUAUCGAUCGACUCAUGCUUUUCAAACCAAAAAUAUUCACAGGAAUUGAUCGAUGAACCGCUGCCUCCAGC
Molecule: microRNA precursor, 87 nt
Filed under: Arabidopsis suecica
Lineage: Eukaryota; Viridiplantae; Streptophyta; Magnoliopsida; Brassicales; Brassicaceae
Description: MIR162_2
Rfam family: MIR162_1 microRNA precursor family
Source: RNAcentral